GCUCCGUAGUGAAGUUCAUGUUGAGUUGCAAGCUCAUCGAUGCACGUGAGUGUGCCGGGGCCU
Molecule: transfer RNA, 63 nt
Filed under: Lophodytes cucullatus
Lineage: Eukaryota; Metazoa; Chordata; Aves; Anseriformes; Anatidae
Description: tRNA-Cys
Source: RNAcentral